ACGAGGGCUCAACUGUCUCCUACCCCCAGUCUUUUUUAUUGAUCUGCCCGUGCUUUAGCGGACAUAAAAACAUAAGACGAGAAGACCCUGUGGAGCUUAAGGUUAAGGCCAACCACGCCAAGCUCUUUCCAAAAGACACAAGCUCAACAGCCACUGGCCCCACAUGCCUUCGGUUGGGGCGACCGCGGAGAAAAACAAAACCUCCACGUGGACCAAGGACACAGUCCUCAAAACCAAGAGACACAACUCCAAGCAGCAGAAAAUCUGACCAAAAAGACCCAGGCCCAAACACGCCUGAUCAACGAACCAAGUUACCCCAGGGAUAACAGCGCAAUCCUUUCCAAGAGUCCAUAUCGACGAAAGGGUUUACGACCUCGAUGUUGGAUCAGGACAUCCUAAUGGUGCAGCCGCUAUUAAGGGUUCGUUUGUUCAACGAUUAAAGUCCUACGUGAUCUGAGUUCAGACCGGAUCGCCUGUUUAUCAAAAACAU
RNAcentral lists this ribosomal RNA (490 nucleotides) under Megalops cyprinoides (Indo-Pacific tarpon). RNAcentral's name for it is "partial large subunit ribosomal RNA". It matches the Rfam family "Bacterial large subunit ribosomal RNA", at positions 2004 to 2625 of the family's 2925-position model. The record is from RNAcentral. Lineage: Eukaryota; Metazoa; Chordata; Actinopteri; Elopiformes; Megalopidae.